Molecule: transfer RNA, 71 nt
Filed under: Cosmoscarta exultans
Lineage: Eukaryota; Metazoa; Arthropoda; Insecta; Hemiptera; Cercopidae
Description: tRNA-Pro
Source: RNAcentral
CAGUAAGUAGUUUAUUUAAAAUAUAAGUUUUGGGAAUUUAAGAUAAGAAUUACUUUAAGUCUUUUUACUGA